Non-coding RNA from Procambarus clarkii (red swamp crayfish), 381 nucleotides. Lineage: Eukaryota; Metazoa; Arthropoda; Malacostraca; Decapoda; Cambaridae. The record is from RefSeq and is a predicted model, not a curated record.
GUGAACGGGAGCGACGGGACGUUAUUUUCCCCGCAGUAGUCACGGGUGACGGUUGUGUAGGUGAAGGCGUUGUGGUGACCGUAACGGCUUUGUCCGUUGCAAAAUGGCCACCGAAGUGGACUGUUGAUAUUGGUGUGAAGUUAUUGGCGAGGUAGCCGUGUUAAGGUACAGGAGGAAUGAGCGGGGACGGGGCGAGCAGAUCAUGAAGAUGAAGGUUGAUAUAAUACUGCAUGAAUGACGGAGGAACCAAGAAAUCUGCUGCAUAGCUUGGACGGUGUCGUGCUGCAUGAACUGUACCGGCCAAAUGUAGCUUUAGGCUAUCACAACAGGAUUAAAUGAGUAGGGAAAGAAAUGUAAGAUGGUAAAUAAAAAUUAAUAACA